Molecule: ribosomal RNA, 466 nt
Filed under: Vreelandella stevensii
Lineage: Bacteria; Pseudomonadati; Pseudomonadota; Gammaproteobacteria; Oceanospirillales; Halomonadaceae
Description: partial 16S ribosomal RNA
Rfam family: Bacterial small subunit ribosomal RNA
Source: RNAcentral
CCUACGGGUGGCUGCAGUGGGGAAUAUUGGACAAUGGGCGAAAGCCUGAUCCAGCCAUGCCGCGUGUGUGAAGAAGGCCUUCGGGUUGUAAAGCACUUUCAGUGGGGAAGCAAGCCUUGGGGCUAAUACCCUCGAGGAAGGACAUCACCCACAGAAGAAGCACCGGCUACCUCCGUGCCAGCAGCCGCGGUAAUACGGAGGGUGCGAGCGUGUAAUCGGAAUUACUGGGCGUAAAGCGCGCGUAGGCGGUCUGAUAAGCCGGUUGUGAAAGCCCCGGGCUCAACCUGGGAACGGCAUCCGGAACUGUCAGGCUAGAGUGCAGGAGAGGAAGGUAGAAUUCCCGGUGUAGCGGUGAAAUGCGUAGAGAUCGGGAGGAAUACCAGUGGCGAAGGCGGCCUUCUGGACUGACACUGACGCUGAGGUGCGAAAGCGUGGGUAGCAAACAGGAUUAGAUACCCGAGUAGUC